RNAcentral lists this ribosomal RNA (322 nucleotides) under uncultured Prevotella sp. RNAcentral's name for it is "partial 16S ribosomal RNA". Lineage: Bacteria; Pseudomonadati; Bacteroidota; Bacteroidia; Bacteroidales; Prevotellaceae. The record is from RNAcentral.
GGAGUUUGGGCCGUGUCUCAGUCCCAAUGUGGCCGUCCGCCCUCUCAGGCCGGCUACUGAUCGUCGCCUUGGUGGGCCGUUACCCCGCCAACAAGCUAAUCAGACGCAUCCCCAUCCCUCAGCGAUAAAUCUUUAUUCCUAAUCUGAUGCCUUCAAAGGAAACCAUAAGGUAUUAAUCCAUCUUUCGAUGGGCUAUCCCUUACUCAGGGGCAGGUUGGAUACGCGUUACUCACCCAUUCGCCGGUCGACGCCUAAAGAAAGCAAGCUUUCAAUAUCGUUUCCCCUCGACUUGCAUGUGUUAAGCCUGUAGCUAGCGUUCAUC